Molecule: long non-coding RNA, 913 nt
Filed under: Cyanistes caeruleus (blue tit)
Lineage: Eukaryota; Metazoa; Chordata; Aves; Passeriformes; Paridae
Description: lncRNA (ENSCCEG00000005732.1)
Source: RNAcentral
CUAAAUUUUGCCUGUAAUCGAUCAUUUCUAGACCCCCAAAUCAUAUUGAUUUCUUUAGUUUGGUGGUUUACUUGUGUGUUUUUCAGGAUAUUUUAAAGGAUUUUGAAUCUUUCCUCUAUUUUUUAAUUUUUUUUCCAUCCGGUGGAAAAUGAAAUUAAAGGAUCAGGAGAGGGAUUUUAUGGAUUCACAACACAAUGCAAAGAUCUGGAAGGUCAGAGCGGCAGAGCCAGCUCACGUGUGGCUCUUGUGUGGUGUUGGGAGCCCUCUCCUCACAUCUGUCAGCUGCUGGGAGGAGCUGCACUCCAUGGAUCCGCUGGCAUCCAGACCCACUAGGCUGUGGAUGCCCUCAUCCUACGGGAAAACAUGGAAUUGGGCUUGAAAAGUUCAAACCAGCUCCUGGUCUCAUUGUAACAGGAAGAGAAGUGGUGGUGUGGGAAUGCACAAGAGUGGACAGGGGAGUUCUGCCCAGUUCCAACCACUGGAUCUGCAUCUCUGAGCCUCAUCACCACAGUAAAUAUUUUUCUCAGCUGAGUCUCUGGCAAUAAAAUUUUUCUUAACUUUCCAUAGGGUUGGUUGUUUUGGAUUUUUUUUUGGUGGAUUUGUUUGUUUAUUUGUUUUUGUGGGUUUUUUUUUUUGUUUGUUUUUUAGUUGGUUGAUGAGGCUUUUUUAUUUGUUUUGGUGUUUUUUUGGUGUUUUUUUGUUUGGUUGGUUUUGUGAGGUUUUUUUUUUUGUUUGUUUUUUUUAUUUGUUAUUUGGUUUUUUAAUAUUUUUUUAGUCCUGUUAAUCUGGAUUGUCAGGAAUAUCCAUCAUGAUGCCACAUCCCCUUCCUGCCACCAGCAUGACCUGAGGAAAUCCUGAGGAGCGCCCAGCUCUGGAAAGCAGCAGAAAUAGGGAAUUCCUGCUCUGAAAAGCA